UGUAAAGUUCAAGCUCCGAUUUGUGAGGGCGAAACCGCGAAUGGCUCAUUAAAUCAGUCAUAAUCUACUUGAUUGUUGAAAGUUAUAUGGAUAACUGUGGUAAUUCUAGAGCUAAUACAUGUUGAAAUUGGGCGACUUUGUGUAAAAGCAAAGAAGCCUUGCGUUUAUUAGACUAAGACUAACGGGUCGCUCCCUUUACUGGGGGCGACUCUGAAAAGUUAAGGUGACUCUGAGUAAAUAAUGGGUGAAAGCCCAUGUAGCCGACCUGUUAUUUAAUUGCCGCAAGGCAAGACAGGCGGGUCAAUCGAGUGUCUGCUCUAUCAACUGUGGAUGGUAGGAUAAUUGCCUACCAUGGUGGUGACGGGUAACGGGGAGUUAGGGCUCGACUCCGGAGAACAAGCCUGAGAAACGGCUAGUAGGACUAAGGUCUGCAGCAGGCGCGAAACUUACACAAUGCUAGAUUAAAAGUAAAUAGCGAUGUAGUGAAGAAAAAUAACGAUGUACUUUUAUUUAAACAUACUAGUACAAUUGGAAUGAGACGACUAUAAAUGAGUUAGUCGAGUAACAAAUGGAGGGCAAGUCUGGUGCCAGCAGCCGCGGUAAUUCCAGCUCCAUUAGCAUACAUUAAAGUUGUUGCGGUUAAAAAGCUCGUAGUUGAAUUUUAGGCGAGCUCUUGGGUGGCUGUUCCGUCAAGGUUGGGGUUUUAUUUUAACUAAUUGCCUCAGCUGGUUCAGCUUCACCUUUAGGAGUUUGCUGUUUCGUCACUUAAUCGAGUGCGAAGCGGGGUGAAGUGUAAAACAAAUUUCAAUUUGUUUAUGCUCCACCAUGUUUACCUUGAGAAAAUUAGAGUGCUCACAGCAGGCAGUUGGGGUGUAAAAGCUCCUUUAAUGCUUGAAUAAUGUUGCAUGGAAUAAUAGAAUACGGCCUCGGUUCUAUUCUGUUGGUCUUAUAGAACAACAAACAAGUUGGUUUUUAGCGUUUAAGAGUAUAAAUUUAAAAUUGGUGUUAAAGGCUAUACAAUUGUUGCUUGUUGGGUUGGAUCAUUGAUCCAAGUUCCAUCAACGAUUUUUAGUUAUCAAUUUUAAUUUUACUUAGCUAUAUCGAUCAACUGAGGCAAUGGUUAAAAGAAAUAGUCGCGGCGGCAUCAGUACUGCAUCGUGAGAGGUGAAAUUCUUAGACCGAUGCAAGACUAACUGAAGCGAAAGCGUUUGCCGAGGAUAUUUUCAUUAAUCAAGAACGAAAGUUAGAGGUUCGAAGGCGAUCAGAUACCGCCCUAGUUCUAACCAUAAACGUUGCCAACUAGCAAUUGGGUUGCGAUUCCUUUAGUUUUAAUAAGAAAUGUAAAAGUUUUUUAUUAAAAACCAUUAUGAUCCACCCAGCGGCUCUCGUAGGGAAACCAAAGUGUUUGGGUUCCGGGGGAAGUAUGAUUGCAAAGUUGAAACUUAAAGGAAUUGACGGAAGGGCACCACCAGGAGUGGAGCCUGCGGCUUAAUUUGACUCAACACGGGGAAACUUACUAGAUUAAAACUCUGGAAUGAUUGACAGAUUGAUAGCUCUUUCUUGAUUCAGAGGAUGGUGGUGCAUGGCCGUUCUUGAUUCGUAUUCCGAAACGUCUGCUUAAUUGCGAUAACGAGUGAGACCUCACCCAACUAACUAGUCGUUUGGUGCGCUGUUGGAACGCAAAAGUUUGUUUAUUAGUAGGUUUAGCUUGUUAGAGGGUAAAAGCUUUAGCAGUUAAGCUCUAAUUUAUAAAUGUUCUCUGCUCGCCAGCGGACUUCUUAGAGGGAUAAACGGUGUUUUAGCCGUAAGAAACGAGGCAAUAACAGGUCUGUGAUGCCCUUAGAUAUUCUAGGCCGCACGCGUGCUACAAUGGCGUGUGCAGAAAGCUUGUUUUAGGUUUGUCCAUUGAAAACUAGCCGUUUUAGUUGACAGGUUGAGCAAUUGACUUGUUGGCUUGGCGGAAAAGUAACUUUGGAGCCAAGCUUAGAGAAACCGUAGUCGAAAGAUUACGGCAAUCAAAAAUACACGCCGUGAUUUGGGAUUGGGGAUUGCAAUUGUUGCCCAUGAACGAGGAAUUCCCAGUAAGCGCGAUUCAUCAUAUCGCGUUGAUUACGUCCCUGCCCUUUGUACACACCGCCCGUCGCUACUACCGAUUGGAAGUUUUAGUGAGGCAUUUGGACCUGCUAUCCUAUCAAAGGGGCAACUCUUUUUGGAUUGCGGGGAAGUCUGUCGAACUCAAAUUUCUAGAGGAAGUAAAAGUCGUAACAAGGUUUCCGU
This 2277-nucleotide ribosomal RNA is filed under the name Trimeroptes luanchuanensis. RNAcentral's name for it is "partial small subunit ribosomal RNA". It matches the Rfam family "Eukaryotic small subunit ribosomal RNA". The record is from RNAcentral. Lineage: Eukaryota; Metazoa; Arthropoda; Arachnida; Trombidiformes; Diptilomiopidae.